Molecule: long non-coding RNA, 1781 nt
Filed under: Sus scrofa (pig)
Lineage: Eukaryota; Metazoa; Chordata; Mammalia; Artiodactyla; Suidae
Description: lncRNA (ENSSSCG00005038274.1)
Source: RNAcentral
GGGGCGGAGAGAGGCUCUCACGGCGCGACGACUGUCCCCGGCAUGAGCACCUGGAGCAGGGCCUCCGCCAAGGACGUCACUGCACAAAGGUCCCGAAUGAACGGAUGGAUGUUGGAACGGCUCCCUCCUCCGCAUUCAGGCAAGACACUGGAGCUGAGGCCACCAGGCGGUGUCUGCUGCGUGGUUAGCACGGAGACCCAAAUCCUCAGAGCCCCCCAGCCCUUUCCUGGAAUCCAGUGUGGUCAGCAGAGCCUCUGGAAAUGGGAAGUGUCUGGAGGUAAAGCAGGGCGCAGAGAAGCCGGGGCCCAAGUUAAUUACAGAGGAAGCGACCCUGGUCUGGUCCCCCGGGGUGGGUGGGGGGCAAGUCCGCUUUCCCAGCAUUUCAGGCCCCUGUUAAGUAGAAGGUGGGAUGGGGAGGCCGGUCCUCUCCUGCUGCCCCCUCCCCACCCCUUUGCCUUUGUCUUGUCCUCCAUCCCACUCGCUCCCAUGCUGCCUGCUGCAGAGAGGCUGGAGCCGACAGCUUGGCUCCUUGCCGGGGCGGGAGGCCUGUCCGGUCACCAGGGUCCUGCACCAGCCGAGGGGCUGUCCCUGGGAUGCCUCCCAUUGCCUUUCACGGAGCCUUGGGGCCAGGGCGUGGCGCUUUGGUCUCUUUGCUCGGGAACCACACUCAGGGCGGUUGGUCAUCCAUGGAUGUGAGCAUCAGCAGGAGAGACAGAAGCCCAGUGAGGAGCCACCCGCUUGUCCUUCAAGCUCUUAAGGACACGAGAGGCAGGAAGAGAGGCAGAAGAAUACAGAACGUGGGAAUAGCUACAGUCGCCUCUACGGAGCCCAGUGCUCCGGCGAUCAGGAGCUUCCGAGACGAGCCAGGGCUGGCCUUCCCUCUCUAGGCGCCAGAGAAUAAGCGAAAGAAAGCACAAUAAACACUGCAGCUUCUCGGACCUCCGCUCUGCAAGUAUUGCGUGCUGUACACAGCGUCGAAUCUUCGUUUCCCUGUGAAUUGCAAGAAACCCCUGGCCGGUUGGGGGCGAAUCCAAACAGCCCUGUUGGGGGAAGUCGGUUCCCGGAGGGGGGCUCCCGGAGGGCCGGCCCACGUGCCUCCAGGCUCUGACCCCCGACAGCAUCGAUGUCAGGCAGAGCGGCCCGGCGUCCUCGGGGAGGCUGGGUGUCUGGUCUGGGAGAGGCCACCUGGCCCCCACGUCCGGUAUCACGUUAGGGGAAACCAAAGGGCAAGUACCAGAACCGGCUCCUCGUUCGCUGAGGUUUGGGACUAAACAAAACAAACAUACAGUGGCGAAAAGCAUUGGUCCUUUACAGACACACAUGUCCUCUGGGGAUGCGAAUGUACGGAGGCCGCGGGUCCAGUUCGGCUUCCGCUCAGCCAGGCCGAGCCGCUCCGGGGCGGUGCCACUGGGCGAGGUCCCAUCCUCUCCUACCUCUUCUGGCUGCCAGGGGGAUCCCAGGUGUCCCUGGCCUCUCUUUUGGCAAAGUGUUUGGUGCCAACUUGUGCUCAUUCUUCUCCUCCUCGCUUUCUUUUCUUUUCUUUCUUUUUCUUUAAUUUUAAGGGCAAGGAAACAAUCAUUUCCCCUCCACCUUCUCUCUGCAGGCUUUUUCUGGUGCCGGGAAACAAGUUAUACGAGGAAGUGGGGGUGUGGAAGAAGGAAGGGCACAGAAAUCAGAAUUAAACGAAAGUUGGACGGGAUUGACAGGGAGGCUUUUUGUUUGUUUUAUUUCUGGUUUUCCUUUUUCUUAAAAAAAAUUAAAUAAAGUUCUCAUUAUUUCCC